RNAcentral lists this ribosomal RNA (693 nucleotides) under Bacillus sp. Bac11D2. RNAcentral's name for it is "bacterial SSU rRNA". It matches the Rfam family "Bacterial small subunit ribosomal RNA", at positions 36 to 716 of the family's 1533-position model. Lineage: Bacteria; Bacillati; Bacillota; Bacilli; Caryophanales; Bacillaceae. The record is from RNAcentral.
CUGGCGGCGUGCCUAAUAUGCAAUUCGAGCGGACAGAAGGGAGCUUGCUCCCGGAUGUUAGCGGCGGACGGGUGAGUAACACGUGGGUAACCUGCCUGUAAGACUGGGAUAACUCCGGGAAACCGGAGCUAAUACCGGAUAGUUCCUUGAACCGCAUGGUUCAAGGAUGAAAGACGGUUUCGGCUGUCACUUACAGAUGGACCCGCGGCGCAUUAGCUAGUUGGUGGGGUAAUGGCUCACCAAGGCGACGAUGCGUAGCCGACCUGAGAGGGUGAUCGGCCACACUGGGACUGAGACACGGCCCAGACUCCUACGGGAGGCAGCAGUAGGGAAUCUUCCGCAAUGGACGAAAGUCUGACGGAGCAACGCCGCGUGAGUGAUGAAGGUUUUCGGAUCGUAAAGCUCUGUUGUUAGGGAAGAACAAGUGCGAGAGUAACUGCUCGCACCUUGACGGUACCUAACCAGAAAGCCACGGCUAACUACGUGCCAGCAGCCGCGGUAAUACGUAGGUGGCAAGCGUUGUCCGGAAUUAUUGGGCGUAAAGGGCUCGCAGGCGGUUUCUUAAGUCUGAUGUGAAAGCCCCCGGCUCAACCGGGGAGGGUCAUUGGAAACUGGGAAACUUGAGUGCAGAAGAGGAGAGUGGAAUUCCACGUGUAGCGGUGAAAUGCGUAAGAUGUGGAGAACACCAGUGGC